Molecule: small nuclear RNA, 105 nt
Filed under: Mus pahari (shrew mouse)
Lineage: Eukaryota; Metazoa; Chordata; Mammalia; Rodentia; Muridae
Source: RNAcentral
GUGCUCAAUUGGGCAGUACACACUAAAAUAGGAACAGUAGAAAGGAAAAUAUCAUGGCCUUUGUACAAGGAUGACAUGCAAAUUCAUAAAGUUGCACUCUUCCCU